CUGCUUGCAGUCACAAUUUUUGGUAAUUGUACGGAUGUUCAAUACCUUCUAAUUUGUUCUGUUGUUUCUGCUGCUGUCAAUUCUAGGCUUGUCAGUUCUAGGCUUGCUUCAUAGAAUGCCACGGUUAAAACAGAUGCAAAUAUAUGUAUUGCUCGACUUCCAAUCCUGCACUUUAUCUAUGUUGCUUCCUCUGAACUCUGUGGUCGCACAUUGCACAUGCUGUUCCAACAUCUGAUUAUUGCAUAUGCUGGUGGAGGGCCACCGUCGCCGUCCGCCGGGGUGGCUCGCCACCGCUGGGGUGUGGUACUGCGCCGUGCCGGACGCCGCUUGCUUUCCUCCCGCCGACCUCCUUUCCUUCGAGAUCUCUCCAGAGGUCGUUCUCCUGGCCGACCUAGCUUGUGUGCCUGCCGCCGCUUCACACACAAGCGCUGCACCUUUCUCGUCCCGGCUAGCGUCCCGAUUGCCACCUCUUGCCUCUCCAUUCUCCCCUACGUCUGGCUGUCCUCCUCCUCCCCUUGCUUCCCUGACGUUGCCUCCAAUGUUGGUAAGGUAAUGCGUGCCAUUUCUAGAAUCUGCAUGUUUGGACUAUUUUUUUAUUCAUGAAUUCUAGAUUUUGUUCAAUUUUCUGUCUCAACUCUGGAAGUUUGCAGCAGCACUUAUUUUAUGGACCCAGGUUCAAAUUUGGGUUCAAUAUUGUCAACAGAAGUUGUUUAUCUUGACCUGUGCAUUUUGUCAUUCUUUAACAAAAUGUGAGCAGAAGUAAUUCAGAAGAAGACACUGUAUGAUCAAUAACAGUGAUGACCAUCAACCUUCUGCAGAAUUUGUGAUUCGUAGAAGCAUGGCAAUAUUUAGACUCCGUAGAAGUGAAAGACUUUGUAUGAUCAUUAACAACAGUGGCCAUCAAUUGACAUGAACAGGCAGUACUCCAGCAAACUGUUGCAUAAUUUUAGAAAUUCAGAAACUUUAAAAAUUCAGCACACACUUGCAUAAUUCAGAAACUUUUUGACGCAGUACUUUUAGAAAUUCAGAAACAUGGAGCAAGCAAGAAGCAAAAUUUGAUAAACUUAUGUUUACCUUUCUAUUUCAGAACGGUUUAGACAUGGUAUUGGCUGAUGAUAAAUUCGCUACAAUUGUUGCAGUAAGAUUCACCCUGUGUCGCAGUGGCUUAUAAUUGAUGAAGCUGAUCGCAAACUUGUGCCAAAUUUUGAGGAGGACAUGAAACAAAUAUUUAAGUGCCUCCCUCGGGCUCUCUGCUCGAAAUGUCUGCUGAGCAUCUUCUUCAUUGAGCCAAAAUCAAUUGCUUGGUGCAGUUUCAGAUUGUUCUUACUAUCCAAUACUAAUUUAUAAAUGGCUACAAUCUCAAGAAGGUUCCGCCGAUUCUAGAAGCACACGGCUGAAUGGAAUCCAACGGAACCAAUGCUACAUCAGGGUGCACUGUUCAAGCAUUUUGAUUGGCCCGGGAGAAAUGAGGACACUGCAUCAGACAACCUUUUGCUUACUAACCUCUUAAAUAUUUGAAGUGAGUUCCAGUUCUUGAUUUUUCAAGAAACUGAAGAGGAGCGUUUGAGGAAAGAGGAGAAGUGGGAGGCACAGGAAGCAAAGAAUUGGAGAAGGGAGAGGGAAAAGGAGAAGUUUCUCAAGAAGAGUACUAGAAACGCCUUACCAGUAGGCUUUCGUUGCAAUGUUUUCAUGGAUUAUUGGAUGAGUCUUCCUCUUGAUUGUUUUUUCAGGUUCAGUAACAUGAUGACAUCCGAUUAAUAUCUUGCUGUUCAGGAGGUUUUGACUAUAUGAAAAAUAUUGUUUUCUUGCCAGUGAAGAUUAGCAUGUUUGUACGGCUACCCUAGAGUAAAUUGCCGUAUUCAGAUCAAUUGUUGGAUUAUGUCAUGAACUGCUAAAAGAUAGUGAUGAUCCCUUGAGUCUAUUAUAAGUACCAUUUUAGUUUGAUGUCCAUUUUAUUGAUUUGUUUAUGAUGAUAAUUGAGAAAUAAAGAAGCAUUGUGGCAUAUCAAAUAUUAUCAUACAUGGAAAAUAUCCUUUGGAACAUGGUGGUAAUUACAUCUGGUUAUGUA
Triticum aestivum (bread wheat) is the source of this 2068-nucleotide long non-coding RNA. RefSeq lists it as uncharacterized. The record is from RefSeq and is a predicted model, not a curated record. The transcript has 5 exons. NCBI's taxonomy places the organism in Eukaryota, Viridiplantae, Streptophyta, Magnoliopsida, Poales, Poaceae.